AGAGUUUGAUCAUGGCUCAGGACGAACGCUGGCGGCGUGCUUAACACAUGCAAGUCGAACGGUGAAGCCCUUCGGGGUGGAUCAGUGGCGAACGGGUGAGUAACACGUGGGCAAUCUGCCCUGCACUCUGGGACAAGCCCUGGAAACGGGGUCUAAUACCGGAUAUGACCUGUCUCCGCAUGGGGACGGGGUGGAAAGCU
RNAcentral lists this ribosomal RNA (200 nucleotides) under uncultured bacterium. Its description in RNAcentral is "partial 16S ribosomal RNA". It matches the Rfam family "Bacterial small subunit ribosomal RNA", at positions 8 to 208 of the family's 1533-position model. The record is from RNAcentral.